GACGAACGCUGGCGGCGUGCUUAAUACAUGCAAGUAGAACGCACAGUUUAUACCGUAGCUUGCUACACCAUAGACUGUGAGUUGCGAACGGGUGAGUAACGCGUAGGUAACCUGCCUGGUAGCGGGGGAUAACUAUUGGAAACGAUAGCUAAUACCGCAUAAUAUUAAUUAUUGCAUGAUAAUUAAUUGAAAGGUGCAAUUGCACCACUACCAGAUGGACCUGCGUUGUAUUAGCUAGUAGGUGAGGUAACGGCUCACCUAGGCGACGAUACAUAGCCGACCUGAGAGGGUGAUCGGCCACACUGGGACUGAGACACGGCCCAGACUCCUACGGGAGGCAGCAGUAGGGAAUCUUCGGCAAUGGACGAAAGUCUGACCGAGCAACGCCGCGUGAGUGAAGAAGGUUUUCGGAUCGUAAAGCUCUGUUGUAAGAGAAGAACGGGUGUGAGAGUGGAAAGUUCACACUGUGACGGUAUCUUACCAGAAAGG
Molecule: ribosomal RNA, 489 nt
Filed under: Streptococcus gordonii
Lineage: Bacteria; Bacillati; Bacillota; Bacilli; Lactobacillales; Streptococcaceae
Description: bacterial SSU rRNA
Rfam family: Bacterial small subunit ribosomal RNA
Source: RNAcentral